This is a non-coding RNA of Cinara cedri, 271 nucleotides long. The record is from the annotation of a GenBank genome assembly. NCBI's taxonomy places the organism in Eukaryota, Metazoa, Arthropoda, Insecta, Hemiptera, Aphididae.
AUUGUGAAUUUAAAAACCACUGGUAUCUACUACUGAUACAGCUCUGCGUGUAAUAAUAUUUUUAUAUUAAGUAUACAAUUAAUAGUUGCCACGCAUUUAUUUACUUCAGUACUUGCACUAAUAACAGCACUGGGUUAAUGACCAUAGAGAAAUUUCUGCUAAAAGAAAUAACUUCAGAUAAAUUGUUUAAAAAAAGAAAGAGAAAAGCUAUAUAUGAGAAUUGAAAAAUGUUUAACGAGAUUAUUUUGUAUAAUCAUUUUACUUUUAUGGU